GACAGAGGCCUCAAGCGUUAGGCGGAAUCACUGGGCUUAAAGCGUGUGUAGGCGGAUCGUUAAGUGUCUUGUGAAAUCCCACGGCUCACCCGUGGAACUGCUGGGCAUACUGGCGAUCUUGGGCCAACUAGGGGCAGCCGGAACAAGCGGUGGAGCGGUGAAAUGCGUAGAUAUCGCUUGGAACGCCGAAGGUGAAAACAGGCUGCUGGGGUUGUGCCGACGCUGAGACACGAAAGCUAGGGGAGCAAACGGG
Molecule: ribosomal RNA, 253 nt
Filed under: uncultured bacterium
Lineage: Bacteria
Description: partial 16S ribosomal RNA
Rfam family: Bacterial small subunit ribosomal RNA
Source: RNAcentral